GAUAGUCCAGAUGGUGUUGCAGGUCUGUGACUGAGCUUUAAUCCACAUCCUUGUGUUUAUGUCGAAUGCAUGCUUUUCAUGGCUAUGCUAUACCCUUUUUAUUGAUAAUUAUUGUUCUUCCAUUGUGCUUUCCCUCUCUUCCUACAAUUAGAUCAAUUAGAAUCAAUUUUGAGAUGGGUUGAGUGCUUUAGGACCUAACCAUGAUUUUAAACUGUGUCUGUUUCAUGCAGUGAAUGUGCAUUUUUA
RNAcentral lists this unclassified non-coding RNA (246 nucleotides) under Hevea brasiliensis (rubber tree). Lineage: Eukaryota; Viridiplantae; Streptophyta; Magnoliopsida; Malpighiales; Euphorbiaceae. The record is from RNAcentral.